UUGAAAUGGCAAACCCAUUGAAAGAUGGGGACGCAAAGCCAUGGGCCUAAUACGCAUGUUCGUUAUGGUUGCCAGGUUGCCG
Molecule: non-coding RNA, 82 nt
Filed under: uncultured Paenibacillus sp.
Lineage: Bacteria; Bacillati; Bacillota; Bacilli; Caryophanales; Paenibacillaceae
Description: Cyclic di-GMP-I riboswitch
Rfam family: c-di-GMP-I riboswitch aptamer
About the family: GEMM was predicted in a large-scale screen for bacterial structured RNA regulatory elements. Genes associated with GEMM are involved in a diverse array of functions, including chemotaxis regulation, signal transduction, secretion and chitin.
Source: RNAcentral